UGCCUCCUCUGUGCAAAAGGCAGCCCAGGGCUCCAUGCUGGGUUAUGUCAGCAGGCUGAGGAGGCAGAUCAGAGCAGCGGUGUUACCCAUUCCAUCCUGAGCUGCAACGUGGCUCUGCGGUGGAAGAGAUCCCUGCAACAAAC
Molecule: small nucleolar RNA, 143 nt
Filed under: Fundulus heteroclitus (mummichog)
Lineage: Eukaryota; Metazoa; Chordata; Actinopteri; Cyprinodontiformes; Fundulidae
Source: RNAcentral